RNAcentral lists this long non-coding RNA (254 nucleotides) under Monodelphis domestica (gray short-tailed opossum). Its description in RNAcentral is "lncRNA (ENSMODG00000047895.1)". Lineage: Eukaryota; Metazoa; Chordata; Mammalia; Didelphimorphia; Didelphidae. The record is from RNAcentral.
AUGAAUUGAAGGUCUCUUCCAGCAUGGAAUGCCAUGAUCCUUACCCUCCCGUGUUCAGAUGCUCUGCACCAUCUUCUGGCUAACCUCACAUUUUCUAAAGAUCUUUACAUAAGCACCUACUUGGUCCAGUGCUAUUAUCAGACCCAUUUUACAAAUGGGGAAACAGAUUGAAUGAAGUGACUUUCUCAGGAUCACAAGGAUGUUAAGGUCUGAGAAGGAGAGUGAUCACUAAGAUCCAAAGAGAUAAGAGAAGG